This 440-nucleotide ribosomal RNA is filed under the name uncultured bacterium. Its description in RNAcentral is "partial 16S ribosomal RNA". It matches the Rfam family "Bacterial small subunit ribosomal RNA", at positions 338 to 795 of the family's 1533-position model. The record is from RNAcentral.
CCUACGGGUGGCAGCAGUGGGGAAUAUUGCACAAUGGGGGGAACCCUGAUGCAGCAACGCCGCGUGGGUGUAGAAGUACUACGGUAUGUAAAGCCCUGUCAGCAGGGAAGAAAAUGACGGUACCUGACCAAGAAGCCCCGGCUAACUACGUGCCAGCAGCCGCGGUAAGACGUAGGGGGCAAGCGUUGUCCGGAUUUACUGGGUGUAAAGGGAGCGUAGAUGGCAAGUCAAGUCUGGAGGGAAAGCCUGUGGCUAAACCACGGGACUGCUUUGGAAACUGUGUUGCUGGAGUGCAGUAGGGGUGAGAGGAAUUCCUGGUGUAGCGGUGAAAUGCGUAGAUAUUAGGAGGAACACCGGUGGCGAAGGCGGCUUACUGGACUGUAACUGACGUUGAGGCUCGAAGGCGUGGGGAGCAAACAGGAUUAGAUACCCCUGUAGUC